Molecule: long non-coding RNA, 1761 nt
Organism: Pangasianodon hypophthalmus (striped catfish)
Lineage: Eukaryota; Metazoa; Chordata; Actinopteri; Siluriformes; Pangasiidae
Exons: 3
Source: RefSeq, a predicted model, not a curated record
GGGGGUCCUUCGCUGCAAUCUGCUCGAUGCUGCUGCGACAAAACGCCUGAACCAUGCACAAGUCCAGCAAAAAACCAGAAUGUAACAGUCGGCAGGGGACAGGGCUGUGGCCAUAUGCCUCCGCAUUGCCUUCUCGGUGUGCAGGCCUCCUGUCCGCCUAGACUUCAGGCCAUCUGUUUAAGGGUGAGCUUUUCUUCCUCUUCCAGAGCAGACUGUGGUGUGAAGAUUACAGUGGAUUCACAAGUAUUGUUACUCGGCUAAUGGUUAGGAUUACAGCUCUAAUUGCUUCUUAUGGAUAAAGACUUCAAAGAGCUACACAAAACAGCAGCUCUGAAUGUUCAUCUGAAGUGCAUCAAUAAUAAGGUUAUUGUGUCUUCCUCUGAAAGGAUUAUUUGGUGUAACCCCUUUCCUAAGUGGACCCACCGCAUGGAUUUAAGCUAAACGUCUGUUUUGGAUGAGUUGGGAGCGUGGGGAAGAGAUGAAGCGCAGGGCACGGGGAGAAUGAAAAAGCUGAGGGCUUAAGAAUGGAUCGGCCACAUUAGAAGCUACCUGCUGGGACUGUACUGCUGACUAAGGGGAAACUUGAAAAAAGUCGGACAUUUGGGCCACUGCCCUGGUACUGUGGGGAAAAAACGUGUGGGCCCAACAGACUGCAGGAGGGUGGGACUGUGUGUGUGUGUGUGUGUGUGUGUAUGAAGGUCUUCCUGCUGUUUGAGUUUCCUUCUCAGGGAGUAUAUGACACCCCCACAGAUCUCCAUCCCUGUAACAGGCACCUCACACACACACACACACACACACACCCUCCUUUCGUCCCUUCUCUCCCCUCCUGCAUCUCACACACUGAGACAUUUUUCCACAUUGGCCGGAUUAGGAACACUUUCACUUAGAUCUAUGCAGUCGCCCCCACAGACAAAGAAACACUCGGGGACAGGAUUAGUAGGAUUAAAGGGGAUUCACAUAUGUCCAGUUCAAGCAAUUGGUAUUCAAAGCUUUACACUUUCAAAUGCCACCAAGAGAGAGCAAAGAAGUCCAGAGCUUUUCUUUGCAUUGCAGCACCUUUAUGAGGUACGGUUCCCUUUCUGCUCCUACAAUACCACUCUGAAUACACAUUUUCACUUUUUUUGGAGGGGAUUUUUAUUGAUUUGGAACACCAAGAAGUGGAUGAGAUGGAGGGGUUUUGUGUGUCUAUAAGUGUGUAUGAAUAGAUGGUCUAUUUCUACCUCCUCUAAUUUACCAAAGAUUGUGUUUAUUCCGUACCCUGGUUAUCUUUCCACUGAUUCAAUCUUAAACCUGGAACAGGUUUAUUAUAAUUAGUCAUGAUUAUAUGGAUCCUCUACAAAUAUUCUUACUAUUAAACCUAGUGUCAUUGGAAUCGCAACAAUUGUUCAUAUUGCCUGAUGCUUUCCAGUACCACUUUUUAAUUUAGGCUAUUGAUACCACAAGAUACAUGCUAUAUACUAUAAUUGCUGUACACUGUAUAGUUAUAUAUAACAACUUUACAAAUAUUGUCCAAAUACAUUUUGUAUUUUGGCACAAUCAGUUUGUAUUCAAAUGUAUUAGGAUUAAGGUAACAGAUAUAAUAUAGGGGCUUGUUAAUUUCAUUGAAAAUGAAGACAGAUCAUUUCAGCUGAAUUAAAAUGCAGAUUUAUUUCAAAUUAAUAUUGCAUCUCAGUCUUAAAGGCAGUCAGUUUAGUUAGAAUGUAAUAAUUAUUAUUACUUUAAUUAGCAAACUUGGGGAUUAUAGAGAAAUGUAUAAGUGCA